Molecule: long non-coding RNA, 1955 nt
Organism: Anas platyrhynchos (mallard)
Lineage: Eukaryota; Metazoa; Chordata; Aves; Anseriformes; Anatidae
Source: RefSeq, a predicted model, not a curated record
ACAAUUAUCAUCAUAGGCAAAAACAAAUUUAGCAUAGGGAGAUUAAUGUAAUUUAUUACCUAUUAUUAACAAAGUAGAGAAGUAAGAAACUAAAAAACGAACUAAAAACACCUCUCCCCCAUUCACCCUCUCCUACCUCCUUCCCCCAGGUGGCGCAGGGGAAUGGGGAAUGGGGAACGGGGGCUGCGGGCUGCAAUCACUUUGCCGCUCCUUCACGGUCACUCCCUGCCCCUGCUCCACAUGGGGUCCCUCCCACGGGAUGCUGUCUUUCCCAUCAGGAGCAAACUGCUCCAGCACGCAUCCCCCGCGGCGGCAGCUCCCACCAGGCCCCGUGCUCCUGCGUGGGCUCCUCUCCACGGGCUGCAGCGUGGAGAUCUGCUCCAUGGGGGACCCAUGGGCUGCAGGGGGACAGCCUGCUCCACCAGGGGCCUCUCCACAGGCCACAAGGAAACUUCUGCUACAUGCCUGGAGUGCCUCCUGCCAUCCUGCUGCACUGACCUUGGGAUCUGUAAGGCAGUUAUACACCUUGUGUACACUUCAAUCUUUGAAUCAACAAAACUGAAGGAAGAGAACAGACUUCUGACAUGUCCCUACAUGCAAUGGUAGCUGUUACAUGCACCGAGCUGUUAGGAUAAACUGGAAAUCACACAUUGCUGUAUGUGCUGACCAAAGUCACUAACUCCUAUGGUGAUCGGGAUUAUCUGUAUUUUACUCAGGUAUCAAGUUGUACUACUCAGCAUUUAUUAAUUACGAAUUCUAAUUAUUUUAUCCUGCUUACAUAGUUUAUAAUCUCAAACUGAGAUGAAUUUAUUCAGAUAAUUUGAGUGUCAAUGUCUACAUUUAAAGGUCGAUUUGACAGAUUUGAUAUUAAUUUAGAGAGUCUAUACUUAGAAUACAGUUCCACGUUGAUGACUGGACAUCAAGAAUGAGGUUCAUGACAAUUUGUUUUAACUGUGUAAGCUAGUUGUCUUUUUAAGUCCCAUCUUCUGGGUCCCUUUUUAGUCACCAGAGUGAUAAAGAUGUUUGUACAUUUCUCAACACAGUUUCUCUCUGGAGGUGCCCUUCUCAGGGGAGUUUUUGAAUUGUUUGUGCUAAAUGCCUAGAUUGUAUGUGUCUAAAAUGAAAAGAGAUGAAUACCACUGCAAGUAAGGAGUGCUUUGUUUUGUUUUGUUUAAGAAAGUGUUGGUAAAAUUUUUUACUUUGAAUGAUUGUUUUAGUCUGCCUAAAUAUAAUCUGUAUCUGUUGUCUGAUUGCCCUUGAAAUGUAUGGAAAAGUAAGUCAGUACCUCCAUUCUCAGUUAUCUCUUUUUAAGAUUCAGUUCUACGGGGCAGGAAUUUAAAUUCAGGGAACUUUACCAUGUACUCAGAAUUACUUCGUGCUUAAGCACUUUCAGACUUUUCUCUCAUCAUGUCUUAAAGGGUUUAUACUACGGUUGUUUUAAUGAAACAAAAGAUUUGGGUAUGGAAAUACAGCAGAACCAUUACAGGACACAGGUUUCAAUUAGUGCUAAGGACUGAAUGCAAUCUCUGUCAUUACUAUUGUAGCCACUUUGCUUGCUCUCCAAGAUGUGGCGGCUGUUCACGUGCUGUAGUGAGGUACGCAAAGCUUGUCACAACAUUAUUGAGGAGAGAGGGGUUACUGACUGUUCUGCAUGCCUAAUUUUAAGAACUGUAUUUUUUACAUCUGUAAUUCUUCUUCUUUGUUUCAUAUGGAGUAUUUUGUAUUGCUCUGUAUGGCACUAAUUUUAGUUAUUUAGCUUUUAUUUAGUAAUUUAGCUUUUGGUAGACAGUUUACAUACUAUGGAACUGAGGUUAUAGUUGCUUUUGUUUCUCUACCUCUGAAGCUUUCUCUGAAAGCACAAGAGCCUGGGUUGUCAUUAUGAUUAACUAGUCAGAUAUUUUGUAAUUUUAAAGUGCUUAAUGUUUCAACUAUAAAGACAUUGAUUUUUACAAAUA